This 909-nucleotide long non-coding RNA is filed under the name Salmo salar (Atlantic salmon). RNAcentral's name for it is "lncRNA (ENSSSAG00000117910.1)". The record is from RNAcentral. Lineage: Eukaryota; Metazoa; Chordata; Actinopteri; Salmoniformes; Salmonidae.
UCAGAACCAGGAAGUGGAAGAGGAGGAGUUUGGACCUCGGCUGCCUCCUCCUUCCUCUACAUUGACGGGGCGCCGUCCGUCCCCAACUCCCUCUGCUAAGGACGACAAACACAAGAAGAAGUGUAAGGAGAAGCACAAAGCCAAGAAACACGGCAAGCACAAGAAGGACAAAAAGAAGAAGAAGCACAAGAGGCACAAGCACAAAGGCAAGCAGAAGAAGAGCAGUAGGAAGGAGUCUUCAUCAUCAGGCAGCAGCUCAGAGGGGAGUGACGGGAACGGCCAGGAGGACGGAGAGGAGGGAGGAGGGGUGUCAACAGAAGAGCUGCUCAGAAGGUUGAAGAGCAUCCGUGGGAAGAAUCAGCAGUGAAUCUAUAAUCCGACAGACAGGAUCCAUCAUGUCCUCUAUGAGGAUGGAUACCUGGAUACCUGGAGACGGGAGUCAGGAACCAUUCUGUAUAUGGCAUUUAGGAAUUCCAAUAGCCCUGUACCGAUGCUGAUGAAAGAGGGGCUUACUUUACAUUUUAAAUUGUAAUUCUCAUAAGAUGUGAGUUUUUGCUGAUCAAUGUCUUGGGCUGAUAUGUUGAGAGAUAUUGAUUUGUUGCUAUCGUCUGUUAAUCAAUAAAAAAGUAGAUUUUUUUUGUUGUAAUCUGUCUCUGCAUUAUCAUCAUGCCAUUCCAGAUUGUCUGUGAUGUGCCACGUCUGGUGACAAGGCUCUGGAGUUGUUACGAUCCCAUCACGUAUCAUUAAAUGGAUAAAAAGUUGAGCUAAAUACAUUUGGAAAGUAUUCAGACCCUUUUGACUUUUUCCACAUUUUGUUACGUUACAGCCUUAUUCUAUAAUUUUUUUUUUUUUUAAAUCCCCCUCAAUCUACACACAGUACCCCAUAAUGACGUCACAAUACCCCAUAAU